This is a long non-coding RNA of Hyalella azteca, 422 nucleotides long. RefSeq lists it as uncharacterized. The record is from RefSeq and is a predicted model, not a curated record. NCBI's taxonomy places the organism in Eukaryota, Metazoa, Arthropoda, Malacostraca, Amphipoda, Hyalellidae. The transcript has 3 exons.
AGUAGCAUUAACCUUGUUCGCUGACUAGCAUCAGAUAGUUGUGAUUGGUUUUAGGUAGCGGUGUGAAUGUUGACGUUACCUGCAGUUCCAGCCUUCCAUGAUGGUGUUGUUGAAGGGAGCUCUCUAUGCUACAGUUCUGUCUAGCUUUGUAGUGGUAACUUAUAGCAAUGCUGCCGACUUGCAGCAGCCAUCCAUUCUUCCAGCGGAUGACCAAUUCGCAGCUGCAACUUUAACUUUGAAUUCCAACUUCAACGGAAAUUCUAGCUCACCUUUCAAUAAGUCUAAUGCUGAGCAGCGAUUGGUAGACGAGGUUUUCUCUGAUUGGCUGUCUGAAUUUGGGGCUAAAAAUUUAGUUCCGCCUGAUGACGGAAAGGAUUUUAUCGCAAGGAUAGACAACGGAAGUACAAUCAAGCCCAAACGAC